GAAGCUGGAUUCGCUAGUAAUCGCGCAUCAGCCAUGGCGCGGUGAAUACGUUCCCGGGCCUUGUACACACCGCCCGUCAAGCCAUGGAAGCCGGGAGUGCCUGAAGUGUGCAACCGCAAGGAGCGCCCUAAGGUAAAACUGGUGACUGGGGCUAAGUCGUAACAAGGUACC
This 171-nucleotide ribosomal RNA is filed under the name uncultured bacterium. Its description in RNAcentral is "partial 16S ribosomal RNA". It matches the Rfam family "Bacterial small subunit ribosomal RNA", at positions 1322 to 1500 of the family's 1533-position model. The record is from RNAcentral.